This is a non-coding RNA of Hordeum vulgare subsp. vulgare (domesticated barley), 179 nucleotides long. The record is from Rfam. NCBI's taxonomy places the organism in Eukaryota, Viridiplantae, Streptophyta, Magnoliopsida, Poales, Poaceae.
GGGAGAGCAAUACAAGCGUUGUGCUCCUAGGCGAAGCGGUUGAGUGCCGCACCCUAGAUGGCUAAAGUCCANNNNCCGAAAGCAUCACUAGCUUAUGCUCUGACCCGAGUAGCAUGGGGCACGUGGAAUCCCGUGUGAAUCAGCAAGGACCACCUUGCAAGGCUAAAUACUCCUGGUCG